Molecule: ribosomal RNA, 383 nt
Filed under: uncultured bacterium
Lineage: Bacteria
Description: bacterial SSU rRNA
Rfam family: Bacterial small subunit ribosomal RNA
Source: RNAcentral
CGCAAGCCUAACGGAGCAACGCCGCGUGAGGGAUGAAGGCCUCUGGGCUGUAAACCUCUUUUAUCAAGGAAGAAGAUCUGACGGUACUUGAGGAAUAAGCCACGGCUAAUUCCGUGCCAGCAGCCGCGGUAAUACGGGAGUGGCAAGCGUUAUCCGGAAUUAUUGGGCGUAAAGCGUCCGCAGGCGGCCUUGAAAGUCUGUCGUUAAAGCGUGGAGCUUAACUCCAUUUCGGCGGUGGAAACUACAAGGCUUGAGUGUGGUAGGGGCAGAGGGAAUUCCCGGUGUAGCGGUGAAAUGCGUAGAUAUCGGGAAGAACACCAGUGGCGAAGGCGCUCUGCUGGGCCAUAACUGACGCUCAUGGACGAAAGCCAGGGGAGCGAAAG